This 689-nucleotide ribosomal RNA is filed under the name Salmonella enterica subsp. enterica serovar Enteritidis. RNAcentral describes it as "partial 23S ribosomal RNA". It matches the Rfam family "Bacterial large subunit ribosomal RNA", at positions 1 to 724 of the family's 2925-position model. Lineage: Bacteria; Pseudomonadati; Pseudomonadota; Gammaproteobacteria; Enterobacterales; Enterobacteriaceae. The record is from RNAcentral.
GGGUUGUGAGGUUAAGCGACUAAGCGUACACGGUGGAUGCCCUGGCAGUCAGAGGCGAUGAAGGGCGUGCUAAUCUGCGAUAAGCGCCGGUAAGGUGAUAUGAACCGUUAUAACCGGCGAUACCCGAAUGGGGAAACCCAGUGUGACUCGUCACACUAUCAUUAACUGAAUCCAUAGGUUAAUGAGGCGAACCGGGGGAACUGAAACAUCUAAGUACCCCGAGGAAAAGAAAUCAACCGAGAUUCCCCCAGUAGCGGCGAGCGAACGGGGAGGAGCCCAGAGCCUGAAUCAGCAUGUGUGUUAGUGGAAGCGUCUGGAAAGGCGCGCGAUACAGGGUGACAGCCCCGUACACAAAAGCGCAUGUGCUGUGAGCUCGAUGAGUAGGGCGGGACACGUGGUAUCCUGUCUGAAUAUGGGGGGACCAUCCUCCAAGGCUAAAUACUCCUGACUGACCGAUAGUGAACCAGUACCGUGAGGGAAAGGCGAAAAGAACCCCGGCGAGGGGAGUGAAAAAGAACCUGAAACCGUGUACGUACAAGCAGUGGGAGCACCCUUUGGGUGUGACUGCGUACCUUUUGUAUAAUGGGUCAGCGACUUAUAUUCUGUAGCAAGGUUAACCGAAUAGGGGAGCCGGAGGGAAACCGAGUCUUAAUUGGGCGUUAAGUUGCAGGGUAUAGACCCGAAACCCG